Non-coding RNA from Penaeus vannamei (Pacific white shrimp), 314 nucleotides. The record is from RefSeq and is a predicted model, not a curated record. NCBI's taxonomy places the organism in Eukaryota, Metazoa, Arthropoda, Malacostraca, Decapoda, Penaeidae.
UAUAGCAUUCUUGUGCUCACAGGUAACCAAUGUUAUCUAAAAAGAUAAGAUAAAGGAAAAUGGUAAAUAUGACUCAAGGUUUAUCACUCAGCCAGUACAUUAUUGCAUAUUAUCGCCACUGUGUCACCACGAGUUAGAAAUGGCUUCCCCAAGGACCCAGCAAAAAACCCUCCUGGACCUGGCCAGAGCGGGCGACGCCGAGGCCCUGCAGGCGGCCCUCGCCUCCCUCGCCCCCGCGCCACCAAGGACUUCUUCGCCGAGAAGCCGCUGCACGUCGCUGCCGAAGAAGGCCACGAAGAAUAGUCAAGAUGCUG